GUGAAAAAAGAGAAAGGGUAGAGACGAGCGCUCUUCUCCUCUCAUCUUUGUACAGACAUAAAGAACGUAACAACACACCCAUCUCAAGGACAGUGUCGGGAGGUACGACACUAGAAGUAAAAGACUCCUGCUGCCACUACCGCCGAUGUUCAACUACUACUGCUACUAGGAGCUUCUUUACCUCUUCUUCCUCCUCGUAUACCACAGUUGAAAUCCCCAAAACUGUGGCCCGUCGUGUUGACAAACGGCCCGAUAACAAGACACAUGUACGAUUAUACACCUUAGGGCUCUGUAAUACUCUCCAUUAUUAACGUACGGACUAGUACGUGCUGUUAUAACACCAGCAGGCCUCUCCAGCCUGCCGAUCUAUUCCAAUCCAAAAAAAAAAACCUAUUCAAUCUAUUCCAAAAAAGAUUAUUUCUGUGAAUUUCGCGU
RNAcentral lists this ribosomal RNA (435 nucleotides) under Triticum aestivum (bread wheat). Its description in RNAcentral is "partial small subunit ribosomal RNA". Lineage: Eukaryota; Viridiplantae; Streptophyta; Magnoliopsida; Poales; Poaceae. The record is from RNAcentral.